AACGCUAGCUACAGGCUUAACACAUGCAAGUCGAGGGGAAACGACAUCGAAAGCUUGCUUUUGAUGGGCGUCGACCGGCGCACGGGUGAGUAACGCGUAUCCAACCUGCCCACCACUUGGGGAUAACCUUGCGAAAGUAAGACUAAUACCCAAUGAUAUCCCACGAAGGCAUCCGAAUGGGAUUAAAGAUUUAUCGGUGAUGGAUGGGGAUGCGUCUGAUUAGCUUGUUGGCGGGGUAACGGCCCACCGUGCCGACGAUCAGUAGGAGUUCUAAGAGGAAGGUCCCCCACACUGGAACUGAGACACGGUCCAGACUCCUACGGGAGGCAGCAGUGAGGAAUAUUGGUCAAUGGGCGAGAGCCUGAACCAGCCAAGUAGCGUGCAGGACGACGGCCCUAUGGGUUGUAAACUGCUUUUAUAAGGGAAUAAAGUGAGCCUCGUGAGGCUUUUUGCAUGUACCUUAUGAAUAAGGACCGGCUAAUUCCGUGCCAGCAGCCGCGGUAAUACGGAAGGUCCGGGCGUUAUCCGGAUUUAUUGGGUUUAAAGGGAGCGUAGGCCGGAGAUUAAGCGUGUUGUGAAAUGUAGAUGCUCAACGUCUGCACUGCAGCGCGAACUGGUUUCCUUGAGUACGCACAAAGUGGGCGGAAUUCGUGGUGUAGCGGUGAAAUGCUUAGAUAUCACGAAGAACUCCGAUUG
RNAcentral lists this ribosomal RNA (696 nucleotides) under uncultured bacterium. Its description in RNAcentral is "bacterial SSU rRNA". It matches the Rfam family "Bacterial small subunit ribosomal RNA", at positions 32 to 715 of the family's 1533-position model. The record is from RNAcentral.